AGGACGAACGCUGGCGGCGUGCUUAAAACAUGCAAGUCGAACGAGACCUUUGGUCUAGUGGCGAACGGCGGAGUAAUACAUAAGCAACCUGCCUCAAAGACCGGGAUAGCCCCUCGAAAGAGGGAUUAAUACCGGAUGUGGCCUUUUGUGGGCAUCCACGAAAGAUUAAAACGAGCAAUCGGCUUUGAGAGGGGCUUGUGGCCUAUCAGCUUGUUGGUGGGGUAAUGGCCUACCAAGGCUUCGACGGGUAGCGGGUCUGAGAGGAUGAUCCGCCCGACUGGGACUGAGACACGGCCCAGACUCCUACGGGAGGCAGCAGUUGGGAAUCUUGCACAAUGGGCGAAAGCCUGAUGCAGCGACGCCGCGUGGAGGACGAAGUCUUCGGAUGUAAACUCCUUUUUCCAGGAACGAUAAUGACGGUACCUGGUGAAUAAGCCCGGCUAACUACGUGCCAGCAGCCGC
Molecule: ribosomal RNA, 462 nt
Filed under: uncultured soil bacterium
Lineage: Bacteria
Description: bacterial SSU rRNA
Rfam family: Bacterial small subunit ribosomal RNA
Source: RNAcentral